RNAcentral lists this ribosomal RNA (254 nucleotides) under uncultured bacterium. RNAcentral describes it as "partial 16S ribosomal RNA". It matches the Rfam family "Bacterial small subunit ribosomal RNA", at positions 524 to 776 of the family's 1533-position model. The record is from RNAcentral.
UACGGAGGAUCCAAGCGUUAUCCGGAAUUACUGGGCGUAAAGAGUUGCGUAGGUGGCAUAGUAAGCAGAUAGUGAAAGCGUGGGGCUCAACCUCAUAUACAUUAUUUGAACUGCUAAGCUAGAGGGCGAGAGAGGUAGCUAGAAUUCCUUGUGUAGGAGUGAAAUCCGUAGAUAUAAGGAGGAAUACCGAUGGCGUAGGCAGGCUACUGGCUCGUCCCUGACACUAAGGCACGAAAGCGUGGGGAGCGACCGGG